Molecule: ribosomal RNA, 301 nt
Filed under: uncultured bacterium
Lineage: Bacteria
Description: partial 16S ribosomal RNA
Rfam family: Bacterial small subunit ribosomal RNA
Source: RNAcentral
CAGUAGCGCGGUAAUACAGAGGGUGCGAGCGUUAAUCGGAUUUACUGGGCGUAAAGCGUGCGUAGGCGGCUUCUUAAGUCGGAUGUGAAAUCCCUGAGCUUAACUUAGGAAUUGCAUUCGAUACUGGGAAGCUAGAGUAUGGGAGAGGAUGGUAGAAUUCCAGGUGUAGCGGUGAAAUGCGUAGAGAUCUGGAGGAAUACCGAUGGCGAAGGCAGCCAUCUGGCCUAAUACUGACGCUGAGGUACGAAAGCAUGGGGAGCAAACAGGAUUAGAUACCCCAGUAGUCCCUGUCUCUUAUACC